AAGAACAUGAAAUGCUGAGGCAGCUUCAGCUAACAACAGCGCGUGGUGUCCCCGCCCAGAACCAAAUUAACCCAAAUGACGAUAACAGCAGGACUUUUAAAUCAUGGCCAUACCACUCUGAAAAUGAACCCAAUCUUGUCUGAUAAAGGAUGGAUUUGGGCAAUCCAGUAAAGAAAACGCCAGCAUUGGUGAGUAGAAAUGGCAUGUAAGCUCUGGAUUCAAAACAAGGCAUCAGGGGAUAAUUGUGACAGAGGCCAAUGCUUUAGGAAAUGAUUUUUCUUGUGCCAUAAAUUGUAGUUGAAGGAUAAUUUUGUUUUUGUUUUGUUUCUCCCCAGAGUGGCCUCAUGAAUAUGAAGAUAUCUGGAAAAUCUUCACUACACAGCAUGAUUUCAGGAAUGAUGAAACAAUAAAUGAGAAUCUGGUAUUAAUAAUCUGUGGGUUUU
This 443-nucleotide long non-coding RNA is filed under the name Callithrix jacchus (white-tufted-ear marmoset). Its description in RNAcentral is "lncRNA (ENSCJAG00000074032.1)". The record is from RNAcentral. Lineage: Eukaryota; Metazoa; Chordata; Mammalia; Primates; Cebidae.